RNA transcript from Sorghum bicolor (sorghum), 6005 nucleotides. RefSeq lists it as uncharacterized. The record is from RefSeq and is a predicted model, not a curated record. Lineage: Eukaryota; Viridiplantae; Streptophyta; Magnoliopsida; Poales; Poaceae. The transcript has 3 exons.
UUUUUCCACCUCUCCCUUCUCUCUCAGUUUUUCCCUGUAGCCUUAUCCUCCCCCUAGUGUUCAUAUAGAUUUUUACUUUGUGUAAGCAACUGAAAUUUUCGAGUUGGAAAUAGAGGCCCGAAUCUUCCACAUGUCCGCUGGGAUUCAACAAAUUUAUCUGUGAUUUUUGUUGUUCACUGUGCUGAGUUUUUCCCAUUUUCGUGCUUGUCUACGAUUUGAUUUUCCCGGAGUUUGGUUUGAUUGCAAGCGAUGAUUUUUGGGGAGUUGUUUCGUGCCUAGGUGAAUUUCAUCUAUGUCAAGUUUGGAAGUGAUUCAUGGAGUUUUGAGUCUGAUUUCAUCGAUUCUUGCGCCGUCUGUUCCUUCCUUGGAAGUUUCUGUUCGUACUCAGGAAGUCCUGUAUGGAAUCGGUCUGAGCGCCAUCAGCUCUGGUGCUCAAGCACUGCGAGUGCUCAGGUGAGCGGCGCCCAUCACUAGUUCAAGUGCUUGUCUGCUCGCUCUCCCGUACGCCGGCUUGCUUGUGUGUUCUAUCUGUGAAGUGCAGUUCGUUCUUGCCUCUGUUCUUUUCUCAGUACUAGUCAGUUUUUGCAGAGCAGCAGCGCCUCAGCUUCUUGCGCUCAGAAUCGAGUUCGUGGCAGCACUACCAACACCGGUGUUCAGGCACCGUGUCCGCUCGUUCAAGCAGUGUUUGCCGUGGGUCGUUGUGGCCAGCUGCUCAUCCAGGUGUUGUUUUGUUCCUUGCGUGAUUGACUGGUGUAGUUCUCUAGCAGUGCUUCUGUUCUGGAGCCAAUCACAGCAGCUUGUUCUCUUGAUUUUGUGAUUGGUCAUCGAUUUGGAUAGUCAGUGCCCUGCCGAUGGCAUCCAGUGGGAGCUCCGAUGCGGGUUGCAGGCAGCCUCUCUGUGAGGAUACUAGUUCAUGCUCGUAUAGGUUUUUGGUUGAUUCUCAUCAGGUGUUGGUUAGUUAGAAAUUGCAGAAGUUCGUGAUUACCUAGAGCCAUCAUUUUGGUUUAUUUGAGAGUCUCGUUCCUGCCCGUGAGUGGCCAUAAAAUUUCCUGCCUACUGGCUUGUGUUUUUAAGUGAUUUUCUUGUCAGUCUUUUUAGGUGUUUUUCUGUCCAAUUUAUUCUUCUUUGAUUUCCUGUUUUGUUCGUAUUUUGGUUGUUCGAGCUCCGAUUUGAUUUCCGUUAGUUGCGUUCGUCUUCUAUCGUUGUAAGGAAUUUUAUCUAAUUGCUCUUGUCACCAGUUGACUUGAGUAAUUUAGUUUCGGGUACUUAUUUGUGUUUGGCGGUGAUUUGGGACAGUGGCUAAAAUUAUUUCGAAAGAAAAUUUACGGCUCCCAUUCACCCCCCCUCUGGUCGCCGCUUUUGGUCUUUCAAUUAGUAUCAGAGCCAGUUAAGGAUCAUUCCACCUUAAUCGGUCCGUGAUCCACGAAUGCGACAUGGAGCGUGGUUCCGUUAAACCACCGUUCUUCGAUGGAACAAAUUAUCCCUAUUGUAAAAUACGCAUGUCUGCUCAUCUCCAGGGGAUUGAUUGGCUAGUUUGGGAAAUUUGCGAGGAUGCUACUUUCGUUGUGCUUGAACCUCGUGCUCGAACCACGCAAGAUCAAAAAGAUUGGCACAACACAAAUAGCAGAGCAAGAUCUGUUCUUUUCUCGAGUCUUUCGCUUCCUGAGUUCGAGCGUAUCUCUGAUUGUGCUACUGCUCGAGAGAUCUGGGUGAGGCUUCAGAGCUAUCACGAGGGUACAGCCCAUGUCAAAACCAGACUUUAUGAGACGUACAAGAGAGAGUAUGAGAACUUCACUCAGCUUGAUGGCGAGUCCAUCGAUGCCAUAUUUUCUCGUUUUCAGACGAUCAUUAACAAGAUGCGAGCAAACACGGCACAGCUACCUUAUGAUGAUCAUGAGAGGGCUCUCAAGCUUCUAUAUGCCCUAGAUCGGAAGGUUUGGGAUGUGAAGGUAUCCGCCAUUAUCGAGUCUUCGAACUACGACACCAUCACUGUGGACGAGCUGUUCAGCAAGCUCAAGUCCACCGAGAUCGACUACCAGACUCAAGCCAAACUCAAGAAUCCCUCUGCACCGACUAUGGCUUUAGUCUCAGGUAACCGUUCAAGUUCUUCAGCUAACCCUUCACAGAUGUCGUUCGCCUUGUCUUCCUUGGUGUCUAUUUCAGAGGAGCAGUUGGAGACCCUUGGGGAUGACGAGCUGGCGUUGAUCAUUAGCCGGUUCUCGCGGUUCCACAACAACCGCUUGAACCGCCGCCGCGGCGGUGAUCAAAAGGUGUGCUGCUACAACUGUGGAGAUCUCGACCACUUCGUCGCCCACUGCCCCAAGAAGAACAAGCACUCCUUCGACAAGUACGACUCCGGCAAGCGCAAGGACAAGCACGACUACACCUCCAAGAAGCACAAGUCAAAGAAGGGCUUCGACAAGGAGGUGCUCAAGAAGAUGUACCGCAAGAAAGCCAAGGCGCAAGAGCGUGCCUUUCUUGCUUCCCUCAGCGACCUCGACAAUGACUCUGGCGAUGACCGCUCCUCUUCUCCCUCGAGUGACGAUGAGUCCGAGAGGAAGAUGGAGAAGCUGACCGGUCUUUGCUUCAUCGUCGACUCCACUCACGGAGGCUUCUGCACCAUGGCGAUUGAUGAAGAGGUGAAGGCCAGCAAGGAUGAGGUCUCCUUCAACGACGACACCUCCGAGAUCGGAGGCCUGGAGAAUACGUGGCUUGUUGAUUACGGUUGUUCGCGCCACAUGGCCGGAAGUUCAAAAUGGUUCUCCAGCCUCGACCCCGUGCAAUGUAAGGAGUACAUCACAUUCGGGGACAAUAGCAAAGGUAAGGUGCUUUCUCGUGGGACCAUUCGGGUCAAUGAGAGUUUUGUCUUGAAGGAUGUUGCUUUGGUUUCAAAUUUGCAUUUCAAUUUGCUUUCGGUUUCGCAACUCCUUCAGGAUGGUUUUGAGGUGCGCUUUAAGACUGGCUUGUCUCGAGUUCUUGAUUCUCAGAGAAAUCUUGUUUGCCAGAUUGUCCCUUUUGGUCAUGUCUUUCGAGCUGAUUUUUAUCACUCUUUUGGCUCUUCUCGUUGUCUUGUGGCUGGAUCCUCUUCUCAUCUUUGGAAGUGGCAUAGGAGACUUGGUCAUUUGAGCUUUGACUUACUAGCUAGGUUGAGCUCACUUGACUUAAUCCGAGGAUUGCCUAAAUUGAAAUUUGAGAAGGAUUUGGUUUGUCACCCUUGUCGUCAUGGGAAGAUGGUUGCCGCUUCUCACCCUCCUGUGACUCAGGUCAUGACCAAGGAACCCGGUGAGCUACUUCAUAUGGACACAGUUGGUCCGGCUCGAGUUCGGUCAGAGGGAGGGAAGUGGUAUGUUCUAGUGAUUGUGGAUGACUUUUCUCGCUACUCUUGGGUGUUUUUCAUGGAGGGUAAGGAUGAGGCUUUUUCUCAUGUUCAAGAUUUGAUUCUUCGGUUACAAACUGAGUUGCCUAAGAAUGCCAUGAGAGCUAUACGCAGUGACAAUGGCACAGAAUUCAAAAACACUUAGUUUGAUACCUUCUGUGCUUCCUUGGGUCUCGAGCACCAGUUUUCCUCUCCUUAUGUUCCCCAGCAAAAUGGUGUUGUUGAGCGCAAAAAUCGGACCCUUGUUGAGAUGGCCAGGACGAUGCUCGAUGAGCAUAGGACUCCUAAGAGAUAUUGGGCCGGGGCGAUCAACACCGUCUGUCAUGUCUCCAAUCGCAUUUUUCUUCGAGCCUUCUUGAAAAAGACUUCUUAUGAGUUGCGAUUUGGUAGACUACCCAAGGUAAGUCACUUCAGGGUAUUUGGUUGCAAGUGUUUCAUCCUAAAGCAAGGUAAUUUAGACAAAUUUGAGUCUAGGUCCUCCGACGGUAUUUUUCUUGGUUAUGCUUCUCAUUCUCAAGCAUAUCGUGUACUUAACCUUGAAACUAACCGAGUCGUGGAGACCUGUGAGGUCACAUUCGAUGAGACUAUGCCUUGUUCUUCUCUUGUCUUUGAAUGUGCAGGUGAUCAGGAGAUUGGUGAGAGCAUCUUUGUUGAGGAUGAUGCAGAAGAUGCCGAUUGGGGUGAUCCCGAGCCAACACCACUGGCUGCCCCUCUCGAGUCUUCGACAACUACUUCGCCUGAUGGCCCCAAUCCUUCUUCUUCCACUACUUGGGGUCCGAUCGAGCAGCCUCCUCAGCCUACACCGGCUGUCCCUGAGGAGGCCCUAGCUGCAGUCGAGGGGGAGGUGACUUCUUCAAGGGAAGCACCUCGACACAUUCAGCGUCGCCAUCCACCUUAGACCAUGAUUGGUGAAAUUGACCAGCAAAUCACGCGGUCCAGGUCAUAUCACAUCUCACACUUCGCUUAUUCUGCUUUUGUUGCUUCUUUUGAGCCUCGAGAUGUUGGACACGCACUAUCUAAUUCCGAUUGGGUUAAUGCUAUGCAUGAGGAGUUAGAAAACUUUGAGAGAAACAAGGUUUGGGUUUUAGUACCGCUUCCACCAGAUUGCCAUCCCAUAGGUACCAAGUGGGUUUUCAAAAACAAACAGAGUGAAGAUGGGGUGGUAGUGAGGAACAAGGCUAGGUUGGUAGCUCAGGGUUUUGUCAGAAAGAGGGGAUAGACUAUGAGGAAACCAUUGCUCCUGUUGCCCGUCUAGAAGCCAUUAGGAUCCUUUUAGCCUUUGCAGCUUCAAAAGGGUUCAAGCUGUAUCAGAUGGAUGUCAAGAGUGCUUUCUUAAAUGGGUAUAUAGAGGAAGAGGUCUAUGUGAGACAACCCCCUGGCUUUGAAAAUCCUAAGUUUCCUAACCAUGUUUCUAAACUCCAUAAAGCCUUGUAUGGUCUAAAACAAGCCCCGAGAGCCUAGUAUGAGCGUUUGAAAGCCUUCUUGCUUGCAAAGGAUUUUAAAUUGGGUUCUGUUGAUAAAACUUUGUUUCUCCUCAAGCAAGGCACUGACACUCUUUUGGUUCAGAUAUACGUGGAUGAUAUCAUUUUCGGUGGCUCUUCUCAUGCACUUGUUGGCAAGUUUGCAGAAACUAUGAGUAGGGAAUUUGAGAUGAGCAUGAUGGGUGAGAUGACGUUCUUUCUUGGUUUGCAAAUCAAGCAAACUAGAGAAGGGACGUUUGUGCACCAAGGCAAGUACACCAAGGACGUACUCAAGAAAUUCGAUAUGGGCGAGGCCAAGCCUCUCUCGACACCCAUGUCGACCAUGACGGCCCUGGAUGCAGAUGAAGAAGGAGAAGUUGUGGACCAGAAGGAGUACCGAAGCAUGAUCGGAUCGCUACUGUACCUGACGGCGACAAGACCGGACAUCCAGUUCGCGGUCUGCUUGUGUGCGCGCUUUCAGUCUUCGUCACACACAUCUCAUUGUCAAGCUGUCAAACGAAUCUUGAGGUGUGGGGUCUGGAUGCGGUGGCAGCGGUCGGGUGAAGGUCAAGUAGGGCGUGCCGUGCUGACGGACCGGUUGCGGUGAAGGGCGGACAUGAGGCUUGGACUGACGGACCAGACGACCGGGUGGCCAGCUGCGGUGGCUGACAUUUGGGACAUCGAUAAGCGCAAGUGUACACGGCGGGGGACGCGUACGGGCUACGCAACUCGCGGCGGGUUUCGCGGGUUUGGGUCUCAAAACCCGAGCGAAGGUCCCGAUGCGGACGGAUGACACGUGGCGGCAUCGGUGAGAUCGCUUCGGAGCGAGGCUACCGAUGAGGAGGCGCGGUGGCCGUCGGAUCAGAAAAACUCGAGUUAGACCAUAGUGCCUAUGGCUAGGUGGUUCGCUCCGAAAAAUAUCUACGAGCAUUUGGGAAAUAUGUAAUAUGCAAAUAAGAGUCCCCCGUCUCCUCUAUCUUCUUUUUCCACCUCUCCCUUCUCUCUCAAUUUUUUCCCCUAGCCUUUUCCUCCCCCCGUAGUGUUCAUGUUUAGGUCUAUAGAUUUUUACUUUGUGUAAGCAACUGAAAUUUUCGAGUUGGGAAUGGAGGCCCGAAUCCUCCACAUGUCCGCUGGGAUUCAGCAAAUUUGUCUGUGAUUUUUGUUGUUCA